GAUGAACGCUGGCGGCGUGCCUAAUACAUGCAAGUCGAGCGAACGGACGAGAAGCUUGCUUCUCUGAUGUUAGCGGCGGACGGGUGAGUAACAUGUGGAUAACCUACCUAUAAGACUGGGAUAACUUCGGGAAACCGGAGCUAAUACCGGAUAAUAUUUUGAACCGCAGGGUUCAAAAGUGAAAGGCGGUCUUGCUGUCACUUAUAGAUGGAUCCGCGCUGCAUUAGCUAGUUGGUAAGGUAACGGCUUACCAAGGCAACGAUGGAUAGCCGACCGGAGAGGGUGAUGGCCCACACUGGGGCUGAGCCGCGGUCCAGGCUCCUACGGGAGGCAGCGGUAGGGAAGCUUGGGAGCUGGGGGGAAGCCUGACGGAGCGGCGCCGCGUGGGUGAUGAAGGUCUGCGGAUCGGAAAACUCUCUUAUUGGGGAAGACCAUUUGUGUAAGGAACUGUGCACUUCUUGACGGUACCUAAUCAGAAAGCCACGGCUAACUACGUG
RNAcentral lists this ribosomal RNA (497 nucleotides) under uncultured bacterium. Its description in RNAcentral is "partial 16S ribosomal RNA". It matches the Rfam family "Bacterial small subunit ribosomal RNA", at positions 28 to 507 of the family's 1533-position model. The record is from RNAcentral.